This 253-nucleotide ribosomal RNA is filed under the name uncultured bacterium. RNAcentral's name for it is "partial 16S ribosomal RNA". It matches the Rfam family "Bacterial small subunit ribosomal RNA", at positions 524 to 776 of the family's 1533-position model. The record is from RNAcentral.
UACGAAGGGGGCUAGCGUUGCUCGGAAUUACUGGGCGUAAAGCGCGCGCAGGCGGCAGUCUAAGUCCUCUGUGAAAUCACCCGGCUCAACUGGGUGGCUGCGGAGGAGACUGGGCAGCUUGAGGGGCCUAGAGGCCGGUGGAACUCCCGGUGUAGUGGUGAAAUGCGUAGAGAUCCGGAGGAACACCUGUGGCGAAGGCGGCCCCCUGGGCCGCACCUGACGCUGAGACGCGAAAGCGCGGGGAGCGAACGGG